This is a small nuclear RNA of Ictidomys tridecemlineatus (thirteen-lined ground squirrel), 104 nucleotides long. The record is from Ensembl. NCBI's taxonomy places the organism in Eukaryota, Metazoa, Chordata, Mammalia, Rodentia, Sciuridae.
GUGCUUGCUUCCAUAACACACAUACUAAAAUUGGAAAAGCACAGAGAUUGGCAUAACCAUUGUGCAAGAGUUUCACACAAAUUUGUGAACUGUUCCUUAUUUUU